UGGGGGAAAUUGGAGCUCAAGAUUAUUUAAACUCAGCGGUACUCCGAGCUGUUGAAGCUUGUUUAGGAUUACUGCUUCCAAUUUUAGCUUACUGCCUUCUUCCUCCAUACAGGAAAUUUAGUUCCCAACCAGACAGUAGUGAUUUAUACCAGAGUAAGAGAGAUAUAUACAGGCAAAGCUUAACACCUGGAGAACGAUUAAGCCAAGUUAGUAUGGAUUCAGUUUAGAAAAAGAAGAUUUAUACAUACUAUGUUCAAGAAUCUUGUAAUAAACAUCAAUAGUUUUUAA
Eurytemora carolleeae is the source of this 288-nucleotide long non-coding RNA. RefSeq lists it as uncharacterized. The record is from RefSeq and is a predicted model, not a curated record. The transcript has 3 exons. Lineage: Eukaryota; Metazoa; Arthropoda; Copepoda; Calanoida; Temoridae.